Molecule: long non-coding RNA, 21837 nt
Filed under: Triticum aestivum (bread wheat)
Lineage: Eukaryota; Viridiplantae; Streptophyta; Magnoliopsida; Poales; Poaceae
Description: long non-coding RNA (TAES_LNC026891)
Source: RNAcentral
UUGUAACGCCCUCGAUGCGACUAUAUCUCCCACGUGUCGAAUCACGACUUAGAGGCAUAACCGCAUUGAAAGCAAUGUCGCAAGUGAGGUAAUCUUCACACAACCCAUGUAAUACAUAAGGGGAAAAGAUACAUAGUUGGCUUACAAUCGCCACUUCACACAAUUACAUGAAUAAAGCAUUACAUCAUCCAGAUACAAUCAAGGUCCGACUACGGAACCAAAAUAAAAGAAGAACCCCAAAUGCGACAAAGGUCCCCGAUCGACCCCAACUGGGCUCCACUACUGAUCAACUAGAACGAAACAACACAAAGGGCAAGAUCUUCAUCGAGCUCCUCCUUGAGCUUGGUUGCGUCACCUGCUCGGUAACAUCGACACCUGCAAACUGGUUUUGGAAGUAUCUGGUGAGCCACGAGGACUCAGCAAUCCCAUUACCAUGGGUAUCAAGACUAGCAAAGCUUAAUGGGAAAAGAAGGGGUAAAGUGGUGAGGUUGCAGCAGCGACUAAGCAUAUAUGGUGGCUAACAUACGCAAAUGAGAGCGAGAAGAGAAACAAAGGAACGGUCGUGAAGCUAGCAAUGAUCAAGAGGUGAUCCUGAACACCUACUUACGUCAAACAUAACCCAGAAACCGUGUUCACUUCCCGGACUACGCCGAGAAGAGACCAUCACGGCUACACACACGGUUGAUGCGUUUUAAUUCGGAUCAAGUGUCAAGUUAUCUACAACCGGACAUUAACAAAUUCCCAUCUGCCACAUAACCGCGGGCACGGCUCUCGAAAGUUUAUACCCUGCAGGGGUGUCCCAACUUAGCCCAUGACAAGCUCUCGCGAUCAACGAAGGAAUAGACCUUCUCCCAGGAAGACCCGAUCAGUCUCGGAAUCCCGGUUUACAAGACAUUUCGACAAUGGUAAAACAAGACCAGCAAAGCCUCCCGCUGUGCCGACAAAUCCCGAUAGGAGCUGCACAUAUCUCGUUCUCAGGGCACACCGGAUGAGCAAGACGUCGGGUUGGCAUAGACCCUGGUUGCCCAAGGGCGCCGGACAUCGCUCGGUUUGGACCAGCACUUAGACAAGCACUGGCCCGGGGGGGCUAAAAUAAAGAUGACCCUCGGGUUGGCCGACCCAAGGGAAAGGGAUAGGUGGUGGUGAGGCAAAUGGUAAAACCAAGGUUAGGCCUUGCUGGACAAGUUUUAUUCAAAGCGAACUGUCAGGGGGGUCCCAUAAAUCACCCGACCGCGUUAGGAACGCAAAAUCCGGGAACAUAACACCGGUAUGACGGAAACUAGGGCGGCAAGAGUGGAACAAAACACCAGGCAUAAGGCCGAGCCUUCCACCCUUUACCAAAUAUAUAGAUGCAUUAAAAAUAUAAGAGAUAUUGUGAUAUCCCAACCAAAAUCCUGUCCACCAUGGAGAAAUCUUCAACUUCACCUGCAACUAGCAACGCUAUAAGAGGGGCUGAGCAAAAGCGGUAACAUAGCCAAACAGUGGUUUGCAUAGGAAAGGUGUCAAAGGUUAGAGGUUCAUGGCAAUAUGGGAUGGCUGGACAAAAAGGCAAUAGGUAGCGCAGCAUAGCGAAAGAACGAGGCAACUAGCAUAGCAAUGAUAGUAGUGAGAUCCAGGGUAGCGGUCAUCUUGCCUGAAAUCCUGCAAGGAAGAAGAACGAGUCCAUGAAGAAGACGAACGGGAGUAGUCGAAUGAAUCCUCACAAUCGCAACAUUACCGGAACUAAGAAGCAACACCGGAAAGAAACAAACAACAUGGUAAACAUACAAGCAUAAAUAUGGCAUGAUGCACAAUCAAGUAUGAUGCAUGUCCGGGUUUAAUGAGGCAUGGCAUGGCAAAGUGCAACAAACAAUACUACAAGUUAAGUGGAGCUCAAUAUGCAACGAGUUGCAUAUUGACGAAACACCACGACAAGUUAUUUAGUUCGAUCUCGUUUAUGUACCCAACAAUAUUAAAUGUUGAUUAACAUGGCAAGGGGUGAAGCAUAACAAAACUACCUACCUAGGCAAGUUUAAAUGAGGCCAGAAACAACGAACAACAAGUCCGGAAAAUCCUCAUGUGCAUAUUUUAGAAAUGGUACUGUUCUGCCUAAACAAUAUUUUAAUGUUGUUAAACAGGGAAAUAAAGUGCACCAUGUUAAACUAGGCAUUUUUCCACCCCAUUUACAUAUAAAGAACAUUUAAAAUGGAGCUACGGUUAUUUAGUUAUGAAAUAAAUCAUUUUAGCAUGGCAUUUAGCAAAUUUAAACAAACAGCAUUUACACAUUUUAAACAUGGAUGAAAGUGGGAUAUUAUUAAUCUACACAAAAUUCUAAGCAUUUUACAUGUUAAAAUCAUUUUAAUCCGAUGCACGGUUAAUGAGUUAUUAAAUGCAUGAAGUUUAGGGUCCAAUCUGUAAAACUGAAAAUCACCGGAUAAUGCUAAAAUCGCAAAUCUGGAAAAAAAAUGCUAUCGGGCCGAAACUGCAGCCUGGCCCAACAGGAGAAAAAAAAAGGGGGGGCGCUGGGGCUGCUCACAUCGGGCCAACAGGCCGGCUGGCUUGGGGCUGGGCCUUGGAGCAGAGCAAGCUGGCCCGGCUGGGUCUGUGGAGGGAGUCGGCUGGGGGGGCGCAACCGGGCCUUGCUGGAGUGCGAUCGAGGCCUCAUGUCCACGCGUGCGCGGUCAACGCACGCGGUCGAGCGUUCGUUCCCGAGCUGUUCUGUUCGUUUCUGAAGAAGGAACACCGCAGCAGGGAACAGCGGCGCUGGAGCUCGCGACGGGAAGCAGGGGACGCAGGGCGGCGGCAGGGACUUGGCGCGGACGACGGCAGGGAGGGCGGAGGCCGUCGGGAACCGAUUCCCGGCGGUGGGGGGCGAAUCCGGCGAGGCAAGGUCCUGGCGGCGGCGAAUUUGCCGGUGUCGGGGACGAGGCGCGGGAGAGCAGAGGGCCUGCGAGGCGGCGCAGCGAACGAGGCCUGGCGAGGGGCGGAGCUUGACGGAUCCAGUCGCGGGACACCAGUGUGCUGGGUCACCGGAACGGCACGGAAGCGACCGGCGACGAAGCUUGGGGCGGCAUCCAUGGCGCUGUUGCUGUAACCUGAAGAAGGGAGGGAGAGAGAGAUUCAGAGAAAGAAGGAAGAGAAGGAGGGACCGAGGGAGAGGGCGCGGGGGCUCAUCUGCUGGACUGGAUGGCUGAAGGGGCGCUCGCGAGAGGAGGCGGAGCUCCGGACUGCUGCUGCUGCUUGGGUGGCUGGCAACCACCGGCGAGGCAGAGGCGCGGGGACAAGGAGGCACAGCCUCGUGCGUUUCCUUGGGCGCGCGGGCUUGGGAGAAGGAGAUCGAGCUCCUGGUUGCUGCUGGUCGAGGAGGGCCGAGGGGAUCUCUGGUUGGUGGGGAUCGGUAGAUGGGUGGAUCGACGGGACUGGGUGGCAGGGAAGAUCGAGGAAGGAGGAGGCUGCGGUGGGAUUGGCCGAUGGGGAAAUCGAGGAGGAUUCGGAGGAGUGGCGGCGGCGUGGGGAUGGAUGGGACAUGAUCCCUAGAUUUUAGGGUUUGACUGCUUAUAUAUAGCGAGUGGGUAGGCUUAGGGUCAUUUGGUCCCUUCGAUUAAAAUCGGACGGUCGCGAAAAAUAGGCUAGGGAGUCCAAAUAAGAAAACGGAGACGUUUUGUAGACGUUAGGGGAUGAUUCGGACCCAACGGUAAUGACUGCCCGGGUCGGGUUCAGGGGAGUUUCGGACACGCACGCGAGGGGUCUGAGUAAAAUGUAGAGAGGGUCAAACGGUCAGACAAGAGGGACCCAACAACCUGGUUGGUCUCGGAAUGGUCCACAAAAGCAAGGGGGGCGCGGCAACUACGAGCGGAUGCAAGUUUUAAAAUAUGACGGCAACGGAGUGCUGAUGCAAUGCGAAUGAUGCGAUGAUGAAAUGCAAGACAUGAACAAAAAUGCAAAACGAAAGACAAAAACCCAACCACGGAGAAAAUAAAAUAUCGCAUCUCUGGAAAAGGCAGGAGUUGGAGUUACGAAUAUGGAAAGCUACAACCGGGGCGUUACAACACUCCACCACUACGAGAGGAUCUCGUCCCGAGAUCUAGGAUGGCACCGGAGGAAACGGAAGAGAAAGAGAAGAGGUAAAACUAAGUUGCUUCUUUGACCAAUGAAUGAAAACCAAAGAACCUUGAGAGGUUGAACAAAUUGAAAGAAAACGAAACAACGGAGAUGGCCAAGAUUGCAAAUAAUUCGUUGGGCAAGAGGAACAAGGAACAUGAUGAGAACCAAGAGGUUGCAAAGACAUGAAUCAAGAGUUUCACGAACGACAAGAAUAUGACCACCUCGUAUAAUGAGAUAGCCAAAGAACAAGAAUGACAGAAUUUGGACAGCACUCCGGUAGAAAAGAGAAGAAAACUUGAUGAGAUGAAAAGAUAUUGAAGAGAUGAUACAACAGUCCGGUUAAAUGGAUAAGAAUGAAAAGAACACGAUGCUCACAAUACGAGAUGAUGAGUGAAAAGAGCAACAUCACAAUGCCUCCGGAAGAAAGAAUAGAAGAUAGAUCAUAGGAAUAACAGAAUGGAGAAGAAAAUGCCAACUUCUGCCACAAAUGAUCUUGGAAAGCACCCUUCCGAGAAGGUUAGAAUGGAGUUGUUAGAAAACCAACAACGAAAAGAACAAGCUUGUUGUGGGCUUAUGGAACACAUCUCAAAAUGAUGAGGUGACAACCGGCCACUAAUGGAAACAAUUGAUUGGUUGAGAUCAAUGAAGAUAAGAGAAACCUCUUCCACCAAGAUGAGAAGAAGAAAAUUUGAUCAUAGAUAAGCACCACAAAUAGCAGCAUUCCUUAGGGAAGGCUUUAGGUGAAAUCUAUACCCAAGAUAACUCCAUGUCGGGGGUUGGAUGCGACAUAUGCCAACGGGUGGCUUAUCAUGGUGGGGGCGAGUAGAACGUCACCGGUGCCUGGAAACGGGAUGAGGCGCAGACAUGCGCGCCGACGAAUCUUACCCAGCUUCGGGGCUCUCCGGGGAGAUAACACCCCUACUGCUGCUCUGCGGGGUCUCCGCAUGAUCACUAAGGUAUGAUAGUACAAUGGUGCUCCUUGAGCUGUUUCGGGAGGCAGGAGGGAGCAAGGCUAGCUCUCUCCCUUGGUUUGUUAUGUGUCUGAAUCUAUCCAGCGCCGAACCCUUUGCAUGGGUGCCCCGGGGGGUUUAUAUAGGCCUACCCCCCGGGGGUACAAUGGUAAUCUGACUGGGCGUGGCCCCCAGCCGUCAGUCUCUCUCGCAGCCGUCUCCCCUGCCGGCUUCUGGGGCCCGCUAUCUGGCGGGCCCCGCGGACAGGCCGAGCACUGUGCGACGCCCCUGGUGACGCAGGCUUGGUCAUGGGGUCGUGGGAAAAGUGCCGCCAUCUAUCAGGCGAUCGCUGUCGCCACUCCCCGUCCAAUCUGGUUUAUGGCUUGUGGGGCCCUGACUGGGAGGCGGCCGACUUCGGGGAGGCCGACUCCCGCAGGGCCGUCUUCGGGCUCUCCGGCCAUCUUCUUCUCUCUCACUGACAGGGGGCCCGGCGAUCCUCGGGCCGUACAGGCCGCCGUCGUGGGCACAGUGCCUUGUGUACUAUGGCUGAAGUCAGGGGAGGCAUGGCAACAGUGUCGCGCCUCACCGGAGAUCUCCCGGUGAUACGGCUCACUGCAGCCAUGCCUUCCUCCCGUGGGCUUGAGGGGACGGCCACGUCGGGGCCGUACCCUGCGUCGGUCUUCGUGAAAGGUCGCGGGCCGACUCUCAUAUUCGGCCCCCUGAAAGGUCGCAAGCCCGGAGUCGGCUUGUUUCAGAGUCGCCGUCUAAGGACUCGGCUUCCUCGAAGGUCGCCAGCUGGGACUCGGCCUUCUCGAAGGUCGCCAGCUGGGACUCGGCUGAGGGGCGCGGCCUGCCCCGAUGUCUUAAAAGAUCUUGGGUCCCGGGUCAGCCUACCCGUGGCCCAUUCCUCCGACAGUAGUCCCCGAAGCUGGUGAAGCCCGGCGGGCGCCGCCUCGCGGGGCUUCAACAGUUUCAAUCUUCCCGACGCCGACUCUGAGACUCGGCCGCGGUUCCCUUGGUCCGCCAUGCCGAAGUCGGACUGGCUCCGCGAGGAGCCGCCGCUCGUAAGUCGUGGCGGGAAAUGGGCGGCGUAUCGGUUACGCUUCCCUGCCAUUAUUGAGGCGGUCCUAUCGCACGGCGCCACGUGGAGGCGAUAGUCUGCCUGCCCACGCGCGUGACGGGAUGGGCCGCCAGGUGGGGCCCGCCACUACCGCGCCUCGGCUCCCGAGCAGAUCCGCUGUGGCCGAGGGCGGUUGGCAUCCCCACGUCGUUACUGCGCGCAGUAACUUCGUGGGGGGUUAAUCGUGGGCGGCGUGGGGCCGCGGGCGCAGUUAAUCCCCACGUCGCCCCCUCGGCUUCUCAGCCCGUUGGGCUAUAAGUAGGCAGGAGGGAGCGGGGCGGCAAUGUACGCACACCUUCUCCCCCGCUCUCCCGCCCUUCCUUCCUCCUUCACUGCAAGCCACAGCUCUCUUCCUCCGCCGCGAGCCAAGGCUCCCCUCCUCGCCGGCGAUGAGUUCUUCUUCCGCCGCGCCCCCACCCCGCGCUCCGGCGUGUGGGACGGUUCGGACGUGGAGGCGGAGGACAUCGAGUUCCUUCGCCGGACACGCCGCCUCCCGAGCGCGGACUUGGUGCAAGCCCGUCCCGCGCCGGCGGGAGAGAUCCGGCCCGCGCCGGCGGAGGGCGAGCGGGUCAUCUUCCGCUCGCAUCUCAUGCGCGGGCUGGGGCUUCCGGCGAGCGGAUUCUUCCGCUCAUUUCUCGAGUUCCAAAGCCUGCAGCCGCACCACCUCACCCCCAACGCGGUGGUGCUUCUCUCCGCCUUCGCCACCCUGUGCGAAGGCUACAUCGGCGUUUUCCCCAUCCUCGAGCUGUGGGGGGAGUUCUUCUCUUCAAAACUUGGCACCCAGGCCGCCGGCACGCCGGCUCAGUGCGGCACCUACAUCGCGGUGCGGCGCACGACGGCCGACAAUCCUUUUCCGCCCAUCCCGCUGGUGAAAUCGGUGAAGAUGUGGCAGAAGUCUUAUUUCUACGUGAAGAACAUCUCCACCGACGGCGACUGGGUCAAUCUGCCGCCUUUCGACCCCGAGCCGCUGACUGGCCGGCUGGCCAGUUGGUCCCAUCGGUCCAAAUCGCUUUCACCCUCCGGAGCCGGCGCCGUGGCGCGACUCCGAGUCAUGCUGCAGUCGGAGGGGCUCGUUGCCUCCGAUCUUCUGGCCGCCUUCGUGGCGCGCCGAGUUCUUCCGCUCCAGGGUUGGCCUCACCUCAUCUGCCAGAUGAGCAGCCGCCACGAUCCGAGCCGGCUGUGCACCAAGGACAUGCCGCGUGGGGAGGUGGCGAACUUGGUGAACCACAUCGCCCACUGCGGGUUCACGGAGGAGUGGCGGUUCGGCAAGGAGCAGUACUCGCGCGACAACCCCCCUCCAAUGGUGAGUUACAUCCGUCGGUAGUUCGAUCUUGUUUGCGUCUGACUUCGAACUCUGACUAUUGCUGACGACCCUCGAGCAGAAUCCCCUCAUAGCACCCGCAGUCGGCGCCAUCAGAGAACCUCGCGAUUACGUCCCAGAUCGCGAGGCCAGCGACGUUGACGACCACGACUUGGGGGCCACGGCGCUGGAGGCCGACGCCGAAGGCGGCGGAGAGGGGGCAGACGACGGCCUCAGGCCGUCGGCAACCUUUGCCGACUGGCCCGAGGACGACGUCGACACGGAAGUCGUCCCGCGCCGCCAGCCGAGGGCCGGUCCCUCCAGCCAAGCCGGCGCGAAGAGGCGUCACGCCGGGCCGAGUGCGCCCGGCGGCAAGUCGAAGAAGUUCAAGGGAGCCGCCGCCGCGACCAAGUGGGAGGAGGCGGCCGCGAAGGCCAACCGCUUCCGGAAGGAAGUGAGAAGGCCGCCACUGGUUUCUUCGUAAGUCCUUUACUCUUUCAUUUUCUUGCUGAAUCUUUAUCCGACUCUUGUUUGAUCUUCCCUCCAAUCUUCUCCAGAGCUCCCCUCUCCCUUGAGAGAGCCGCCGUCCCCUCCAUCACGGGGUCGGUGGAAACGUCCGCCAACACUCGGCGGAUUGAUCCCGCCGCCGAACUUCGGGAGGCGACGGAACGGAACGCGCGGGAGAAGCGCGAGGAGGAGGAGGCCGACCGCCUGGAGAAGGCGGAGGCCGAGAAGGCGGCCGCCAACGCCCAGCGACGUCUGGAAGAGGCCGAGACCGCGGCCGCAGCGAAGCGGCAUGCUGAAGAGGCCGUUCGUCGCCGAGCGGCGAUGCUCGUCCCCCCGCUGUCGUCGGUGCCGCCGGCUCACGAGUUCACGGGGCAGACCGGGGAGGUCGGCACCGCGAACCCUCUCACGGAGGAGGGCGGCGACAUCUCAGGCUCGGAUACUCACGCGCCGCCUCCGCCGCCCCCGCCGCCUCCGUCUUCGAGGCCGCAUGGCAAACAGCCGGUGGACCCGCAGGAUCCUCCGACCGCGGACGACGCCGAGGCGCAGCUGCUUCUUCAAGUCGCCGUGCCGAUGCGCCGCCGGAUUGAGAGGACGAGCUCAGCGCCGCGAGCUCGGGAGACUGGCGCCGCAAGUUCGGCGAAUCUGGACGUCAAGGCUUCUAGUGCCGCGCCCACCGGCUGGCUGCGGGGAGGCGGCACCGGCCCACUGAACCAGGCCCUCCUAGACGUCCAGUCGAAGCUGCGCGAAGAGGGCGACGCCCUCCAACUCUGCACCAGAGCGCAUCUGGCCCUUCGGACCUCCGUACGGGUAUGUUUCGUUUCUUCUUUUGAUUUUUGUCUUCUUCUGUGGGGGCGCGCCAGCGCACCCACUGGGUGUAGUCCCUGAGUUCGGGGCCGGCUGCUGAGCAGGCGGCUCGGAACUCCUUCUGGCGAGCUCCGAAGACUAACUUUUACUUUGCCGGCCUUGCAGGAAUACCACAAUCUCCGCGCCGCUGCCUUCAACCGCAACGUUGAAGAGCUGAAGAAACGGACCGCCGAUCUGACGGAAAGCCGAGGUGAGCUAAUUCUUCCUUCUUCGUGGGGGCGCGCUGGCGCACCCGCGGGCUGUAGUCCCCGAGAUUCGGGCCGACUGCUGAGCAGUCGGGCCGGAUCUCCCCGGCGACCUGUCUUCCUUCUUCUCCGCGGGGGCGCACUGGCGCGCCCACGGGCUGUAGUCCCCGAGAUUCGGGCCAACUGCUGAGCAGUCAGGCUGGAUCUCCCCGGCGACCUUCCUUACUUAUGACGUUCUUGUCUUUUUACUUCGAUCUUUAGGCGCCAAUGCCACCCUCCAAGAGCAGCUGGGCGAGGCCAACACCGCACGUCGCGCCAAGGAGGAGGAGUGCGACAAGCUCAUCCAAGAGCGCGACCUGCUGGCGACGCAGCUGGCCGAGCAGAAAGAGCAGCUCCGGAAGGCGCAGGAAGACGCCAAGUCGCGGGAAGAUGCCCUCAUAUCCGAGUUCGAGGUCGAGCGCUCCGCCUGGACCGACCGGGAGGCGAUGCUGACUUCCGGCUACGACGAGCUCGAGGACGUCGUCGAUGGUAACUCUUUUUUCUCUUCUUUGGUCUUCCGACUCUGUGUCAGGCUGAUUUCUGAUUUUUCUGACUGUCUUCUUUUCCUGUCUUGGCAGACUUCUUUCCCGGCCACUCGCAAGCCGUCCCUCUGGCCAUCGAGGCGGCUCGGGAGGAGCGGAGGGCGAAGGGCGAAGUGAUUGCUGCCAACGCCCCCCGAACCAUCGACGAGCAGCUCCUGAGUAUCGAGGUUCCUCUUCGUCCUGCGCACCGUCAGCUGCGCCGUCUUCAGCGCGCCGGCGCCCAAGUGGUUGCCGCCCUGUGGCCGGAGGUGCCGACUCUGUGCACCGCCAGCCGGACGGCCGACUGGCUAGAGGUCGCCGCCGGUCGCUUCGAGGCUUGGAGGGGCUCCUUGGCCCGUGCCGGAGCACGCCGGGCCUUGGAGUUCGUCAAAGGGUGGUAUCCGGGGCUGGACCUGGACCGCCUGGCCGCGUUCCGGUCAGAGGCCCAGGCCGAGCUGGAGGCCGUAGAAGGCGCCCUUGUCGAGCGCGCGGCGGCGAUCGCCGAGUACACGGACACCAGUGUCUUUGUGCCCGAGCGGACCGAAGGCGGCGAGGAGGUACCGCUGGAGUGGUUCGGGAUGCACCCGGAGUGCGAGGAGGACUCAGCGGAGGUGAUCGGCUCCAGCACCGAGGAGGAGGACGAGUCGGAGGACGGAGGCGAGGAGGAGGCGCCGGAGGACGAAACAGGCGGCCAGCCUCAGCCUGAUCGCGCCUCCAGCAACGAGCCGCAGAAGGACAAGGCGACUGUCGCCGGAGGCGACCAAGCCGAGACCGCCCCGCCGACUGCCCCGACGUCCGACACCGCCGCCACCUCCGACCCUCCGACUCCGGAGGCCGCCCCCUAGAGUGCUUCAGUUUUACCUGUCUCUUUUGUUCUUUAAAACCUUGUCAGUUUCGAACAAUUCCACCCGCGGGGUGUAUUCGGCCAAGGGCCUUAUGUAAAUAUUUAUCUACUUUCCGCCUUUCCUUGCUUUUUGUUUCUUUAGACUUUUUCCUUUGCCGCCUUCCCUUAGUCACCGUCUUGCCGGCUGGGCGGCCGCUCUGCGGUCCGCCGCCGGGUCAAGUGCGUAGCUUCUUUAGGGAGGCAAGUACUUAGUCGUUUAGAAUAUCUUAGCAAGUUGGCUAGAAACUGACAGGCCGACUAUUUGAGAGUCGGCUAUCUUUGAUGAAAAUUGAGACGGCGAGCCGACUGCCCGCGAGUCGGCUCGGUAAGGGGAGGCUGGUAGCCGGCUUGGGCUACGCGUAGCUCUUAAGUCCUUAGCCAUUUUUCAUAUGUGCGCUCGUUCUUGCUUGUCCCCUGCCCACCGCCAGUCGCUCUGCGAGCUGUGGCUUUCGGCAGGAGACGGCUUUGAGCGCAGCACAUUACUUGUCUGACUUCAGGGAGCAUUUUGUAGCGCAAGAUGGCGAGUCCCCGGGUCAACUAGUCAGACCCGGUGCCAGACAAUAUGAUAAAAGGGAAAAGCAUAUUCACAAGCGUAAUCCAUAUCAUACAGAUAAUCAAAAAGGCAGUCCCCGAGCUCGUCCCGGGGGGCCUAAGGUCUUAGUACUUAAUACAAAAGAGGGUAGCGCGAUACAUACUGCAUCAACUGUAAAAUCUCCGAAGAAGAUUCGCGUUCCACGGGCGCUCUGUUUCUUUGCCGGAGUCGUCCCUCUUGCGUGCUCGAGGCUUCUGAGCGUCGAUCAAAUAGUAGGCGUCAUUCCCUAGCACCUUGCUGAUGAUGAAGGGACCUUCCCAAGGCGCCGACAACUUGUGCUGGCCGGCUGUUCUCUGAAUCAGCCGGAGCACAAGGUCGCCCUCUUGGAAUGAUCUUGGCUUGACCUUGCGAUUGUAGUAUCGGCGCAGACUCUGCUGGUAGAUGCCGGACCGACUGAGUGCCAACAGUCAGCCCUCUUCCAGCAGAUCGACGCCGUCUUGGCGUGCUUCUUCAGCCUCCUCUUCGGUGUACAUGGAGACUCGCGGGGAGUCGAACUCUAUAUCCGUCAGGAUGACGGCCUCGGCACCGUAGACGAGGAAGAAAGGCGUGAAGCCGGUUGACUUGUUUGGGAUCGUGCGCAGACUCCAAAGGACGACAGGCAGCUCUUCGACCCAACAGCCGGCCGAGCGCUCGAGUGGUUCGACCAAUCGAGGCUUGAUGCCGGACAAGAUGAGGCCGUUGGCUCGUUCCACCUGGCCGUUUGACUGCGGAUGGGCAACGGACGCUAAGUCCAGUCGGAUGCCUUGCGUCGCGCAGAAACGAGCCAAGGCGCCCUUGGCGAAGUUGGUGCCGUUGUCUGUGAUGAUGUUGUGCGGUAUGCCAUACCGCACUGUGAUGUCGACAAUGAAGGUCACUGCUGUGGGCCCGUUUAAUUUCUUGAUGGGCUUUGCUUCUACCCACUUGGUGAACUUGUCCACUGCGACAAGCAAAUGAGUUAGGCCGCCUCGGGCCGUCUUGAAUGGUCCCAGCAUGUCCAGGCCCCAAACUGCGAAGGGCCAGGCAAUGGGGAUUGUCUUCAGCGCGGAAGCCGGCUGAAGGGGCUUGGAGCGGAACAUCUGGCACCCCUUGCAUUUUUUGACUAACUCUUUAGCGUCUUCCAGGGCGGUUGGCCAAAAGAAACCGUGCCGGAAGGCUUUGGCCACGAGUGCCCUUGAAGCUGCGUGGUGGCCGCACUCGCCCUGGUGGAUGUCUCUGAGGAUCGCUUGGCCUUGCUCUGACUCUACGCAGCGCUGGUGGACGCCAGUGACACUGUGCCUGACUAGCUCUCUGUUGACUAUGGUGUAGGAUGCUGCUCGGCGUUGCACUUGCCGAGCCAGGGUCUCGUCUGCUGGUAACUCCUUGUUUACUAGGAACUUGAGGAUGGGCUGCGCCCAUGAAGGUGCUGCUAUCUCUUCAACUGCUACUACAGCGACUUGGACAAGGGUGGCUGGGCUGGGAGGUGGCGGGCUGGAGUCUGCCGCCACUUGCUGGACUGGGAGAAUCUCUGGGCCGACUGGGGCAGCUCCCGGGCCGACUGGCGCAGUCCCCGGGCCGGGCUUGGAAGUUCCCGGGCCGACUGGCGCAGUCCCCGGGCUGAGCUCUGGAAUCCCCGGGCCGACUGGCGCAGUCCCCGGGCCGACUGUGGCUUUCUUGAGGUCGCUUGCUGGGGCCUUGGAGUCGGAUCCGACUAUUUCUGGCGGAGCCGGCACGAAGAUGGAGUCGGAUUCUGGUGAAGGCUUGAUAGACGGCUUGAGGAGGCGCUGAAGGGCGACGCCGGAAGGUAUUGCCUGGCGGGUGGAGCCGACUCGUGCCAAGGCGUCUGCUUGAUCGUUGUCUUUUCUCGGCACGUGAAGGAAUUCGCACCCCUCAAAAUAUCCGCUGAGUUGCUGCACCAGGAAGCGGUAGCUCGCCAUGUUUGCGUCUUUGGCGUCCCAGUCGCCAGAUGAUUGCUGGAUCACCAAGUCGGAAUCGCCAUAGCACAGGAUCCGGCGAAUGCCGAGUUCUUUGGCAAGCCGGAGUCCGUGGAUGAGCGCUUCAUAUUCGGCGACGUUGUUGGAGGCGGCGAAGUGGAUUUGCAGCACGUACUUGAGCUUGUCGCCCUUGGGGGAGGUGAGGACGACGCCGGCUCCAAGGCCGGUGCGCAUCUUGGAGCCGUCGAAGUGCAGCCGCCAAUGAGUAGAGUCGGGCGCUGGCGGCAGGUACUGGGUCUCGGCCCAGUCGACGAUGAAGUCGGCCAGCGCCUGCGACUUGAUGGCGGUGCGAGGUUGGUAGUAGAUGGUGUAAGGGGCUAGGUCGAUAGGCCACUUGGCCACUCCGCCGGAGGCAUCUCGGCUUCCAAUGAUCUCGGCGAGUGGAGCGGUGCAAACCACAGUGAUUGGAUGCUCUUGAAAGUAGGGCUUCAGCUUCUUGGCGGCAAAAUGCACGCCAUAGCACAUCUUCUGAUAGUGAGGGUAGUUCUGCUUGGAGGUCAACAGUACCUCGCUCAGGUAAUACACUGGUCUCUGGACCAGGAGCGCCUUGCCUUCGUCCUUGCGUUCAACUACAAUGACUGUGCUGACUACCCGGCUCGUGGCGGCGAUGUAUAAGAGCAUGGGCUCUUUGGGAGUCGGAGCCGCCAGCACAGGGGGAGUCGCCAGCAUCUUCUUCAGUUGGAGAAACGCCUCAUCUGCCUUGUGGUUCCACUCAAAAAAGGUGGUCUUCUUCAUCAGCUGAUACAAAGGCAGAGCUUUCUCGCCCAGCCGACUGAUGAAUCGGCUGAUUGAUGCCAAGCAGCAGGUGAACUUCUGCACAUCCAAUAGUCGGCUGGGUACCUCCAUUCUCUCAAUGGCCUUGAUCUUCACAGGGUUACACUCUAUGCCGCGCUCGGAGACCAAAAAGCCGAGGAGUUGGCCGGCUGGGACUCCGAACACGCACUUCUCAGGGUUGAGCUUGAUCUGGAAUCGGCGCAAAUUUUCAAAGGUCUCUUUGAGGUCUUCCAACAGCGUCCCACGCUUUUCCGUCUUCACCACCACGUCGUCCACAUAGACGUGGGCGUUUCUGCCGAGUUGCUUGAGGAGGCAUUUCUGCAUGCAACGCUGAAAGGUGGCGCCGGCAUUUCUCAAGCCGAACGUCAUUGUCAGGUAGCAGAAAGCUCCAAAUGGCGUGAUGAAUGCGGUCUUCAGUCUGUCCGCUGGAUUCAGCUUGAUCUGGUGAUAUCCUGAGUAGGCGUCUAGGAAACUCAACAGCUCGCAUCCGGCUGUGGAGUCUAUCACCUGAUCAAUCCUUGGCAGAGCAAACGGGUCCUUCGGGCAGGCUUUGUUGAGGCUAGUGUAGUCUAUGCACAUCCGCCACUGCUUAUUCUUCUUCAAUACCAGUACUGGGUUUGCUAACCACUCCGGAAAAAACACUUCCAUGAUGAAUCUGGCUGCUAGGAGCCGGGCUAUCUCUUCUCCCACGACUCUUCUCUUUUCUUCUGACAGGCGGCGCAAGGGCUGCCUGACGGGCUUCACAUCCGGCCUGACAUGUAGCUUGUGCUCGGCGAAUUCCGUCGGUACACCUGGCAUGUCCUUGGGGGACCAUGCGAAGAUGUCCCGAUUCUCACGGAGGAAAUCGACGAGCUCGCCUUCCUAUUUGCUGUCAAGACCGGUGCCUAUGACAGCGUACUCCUCUAGUUUCUCCGGGUCCAAGGGUAUCCUCUUGGUUUCUUUAGCCGGCUUGAAUGAUCCUUCUGCUUCCGACUCCUUGGGAUUGGGCGACAUCUCUGGCUGUUUUCCGGCCAUCGCCACAACCCGGUCAAGGAGCCGCUUCUCGGUUGCGAUCACCAAAGACUCGGCCAGCCGACUGCUCUCGGCCGCGCAAGCGGACGACUUCCGGUAGUCGCCGGCAAUAGUCAGAAUCCCCUUGGAACUCGGCAUCUUCAUCUUGAGGUAGGCAUAGUGGGGAACCGCCAUGAACUUGGCCAAAGCCGGCCGGCCAAGCAGCGCGUGGUAUGGGCUCUCCAAGUCCACCACUUCGAACCAGACUGGCUCUCGGUGAAAGUGAUCUUUGUCCCCGAAGAGGACGUCUAUCAGAAUCUUGCCGAUUGGUGAACAAGAGAGACCGGGUACGAUUCCAUGGAACAUGGUGCGGCUGCUCUGCAGCUGCCUCCGCCUGAUUCCGAGCUUCUCCAUGGUGUCCUUGUACAGGAUGUUUAUGCUGCUGCCUCCGUCUAUCAGGACCCGCGAGAAACGGGCGGCCCGCCUAUCAGUGGCCAAGGUCGCGCCUAGAACCAGGGCGUAGGAGCCCGGGCUCGGCAUCACCUCUGGGUGAUCUGCCCGACUCCAGCUGAUAGGCUUCUCGGACCAAUGCAUGAACUCAGGAGCCUCUUUUGCCACUGCGUUGACUUCUUGCUGUUGUUGGCGCCUGCUGCGCCAAUCAUCUGCCAGACUGGUGAACACUACAUAUGCUCCGUGCUCUUCCGGAAACUCAUCUUGGACCGCGCCGACCGGCCGGGCCACCGGCUGCUGGGGCGGCGGCGGAGGCGGCGGCCCUGCAGGCGGCGGAGGGGCGAGGCCGCCUCCCUUGGCGAUCCUGGCGAGCCAGUGGCACUUUCUUGUGGUGUGGUUCGACGGCUUCGCGCCGCUGUGGAACUUGCAAGGACCAUCCAGAGUCUGCUCAUAGGAGAAAGCCGGCAACCAGUUGGACUUGCCGCCUUUCUGCCGCUUGGCCGGAGGCUGCCCCUCCGGCUGCUGAUCUUCUACUGCCGCGACCUACCGACUGUUGGAAGCCGGCUGGGGGGCCUUGCGCUUGUUGUCGUUUUGCUGCUGUCGCCGGCUGGCGUCCCCAGCCGGGGUUCUGGGGGCUUGGGGAAUCACCUUGCCAGCCGCGUUGACCUGAAUCUCCGUCUUCAUAGAAGAGUCGGCCGUAGCGUACUUGUCUGCUAUGACCAGCAGUUCGUCGAGGGUUUCGGGCUCGUCGCAGAGGAGCUUGUGCUUGAGGAGGGUGCCCUCUCGGCACCCGGCCAUGAAGUACUCGAUGGCCUGCACCUCGUGCACGCCCUCGCAGGAGUUUCGAAGUUCGCCCCAGCGCGUGAGGUAGUCGCGUGUUGAUUCUUUAGGGCCUUGCACGCACAAGGAGAGCUGGCGCGGCUUGGGAGGUCGCUUGUACGUGCUGGUGAAGUUGUGAAUGAAGGCUUCAGUGAAGUCGACCCAACUGUUGAUGCUGUGGGGCUUCAGGCUGUUCAGCCAUGUCCGGGCCGUGCCCUGGAGCAUGAGGGGAACAUACUUCACGGCGACUCGCUUGUUGCCGUUGGCUAUGUUGACAGCUGUGGAGUAGUCUAUCAGCCAGUCCUUCGGCUUCACGGAGCCGGUGUGCUUGGGCGUGUCUCGGGGAAGCGUGAACCCUUUGGGAAAAGGCUCGUCUUUGAUGCGGGGCCCGAAGCAAGGCGGACCCAGCUCAUCUUCUUUUUCUAACGCCUGGGAUCUGUGGAGUCGGUCGAUCCGGUGGCGGACGUCAUUCUCUCCGACUCCCUCUCGGCGGCCGAGGCGACCUCCGAGAGUCGGAUGCUCAACAGGCGGCGGAGAAACUCGCCGCUCUCUUCAGGGUGGGGGAGGCAGAUAAUCAUCUCGCCGUUCCACAGCUCUGGGGCGGCCGUCUUGGUCGCGCUCGAUGGUGAUGCGCGUCCGGCUGUGACUGACAGCCGGCUCCUUCUCUUUCCUUCCGCGGGCUCCGCCAGUCGGCGUCCGGGAGGUCGCGCCUCGAUCUCGGCGAGGGGGUAAGUCGUCGUUCGGCUGCUGCAGCGCGUCUGCACGGCCGCCUGCCGCAUUCUGUGCAGCAACCGCGUCGAGGAGCUGCUAGACUCGCUCCGUCAUUACCCGGCGCUCUUCGCCUUCGAAGUUCUUCAGCUCUUCGGUCGCCGCUUGGGCGGCGUGGAUGUUCUCCGCAGGGGUGGCGUACACGGGAUGUUUCGCCCCGAGCAAGUCGGCGAUGGCUGCGUCGCGCUCUCGGACCGCACCUAGACGGCUCGGCCCAGUCGGAGCCGGCGAGCCGCCUACGGCGCGAUCCAUCUCACGCUGGUAUGCUUCUGACAAGCGCCUCAUGCUCGCCAACUUCUUAGCGCCUUCAAUGAUCUGAAGGCGGCGUUCUUCCAGCAUCUCCGCGUCCGCAUCCUCUGGGAUGGGCGCGGCCAGGUCUUGCAGGGCCGCUGGCAGCGGGUCCUGGGCGUUUUCGCUGGAGUGCUCGCCGUGACCGAUGACGAGCACCUCCGUGACGGCGCUUCCGCCACUCUCCUCGUACGGAAGCGGCUCGUCGUAGACCACCACGUUGGUGGGGAAGAUAUCAAGCGAUACGGCGUCGGAGUCGACCAGCAUCGGGUCGGAGGAGCCUACGGACUCCAAGUCUACGGCGGGCUCACCGACGACGUGGAGUUGGUCGAGGAGGCCCGCGAGAAGGUUCUCGGGGCCACCCGUGCCUGCACUCGGCACAGGCUCGUCGGAGAGGCGCACCUCACCGAUGAGUUCGGCGAGGCCGCUCGCGGCGCAGGCGGCUUUGGCGCCGCGCAGCGUGUCGAUGCAGACUCCAUCUGGCGAGCCGGGCUGGUUGCGCUCGCCAGGGAGGAAGAGGGUUCCCGUCCAGAACAGAUCUCCGGACGACGGUGCACUUCGCUCCACGGUGGGCGCCAAAUGUUGGGGGUUGGAUGCGACAUAUGCCAACGGGUGGCUUAUCAUGGUGGGGGCGAGUAGAACGUCGCCGGUGCCUGGAAACGGGAUGAGGCGCAGACAUGCGCGCCGGCGAAUCUUACCCAGCUUCGAGGCUCUCCGGGGAGAUAACACCCCUACUGCUGCUCUGCGGGGUCUCCGCAUGAUCACUAAGGUAUGAUAGUACAAUGGUGCUCCUUGAGCUGUUUCAGGAGGCAGGAGGGAGCAAGGCUAGCUCUCUCCCUUGGUUUGUUAUGUGUCUGAAUCUAUCCAGCGCCGAACCCUUUGCAUGGGUGCCCCGGGGGGUUUAUAUAGGCCUACCCCCCGGGGGUACAAUGGUAAUCUGACUGGGCGUGGCCCCCAGCCGCCAGUCUCUCUCGCAGCCGUCUCCCCUGCCGGCUUCUGGGGCUCGCCGGCUGGCGGGCCCCGCGGACAGGCCGAGCACUGUGCGACGCCCCUGGUGACGCAGGCUUGGUCAUGGGGUCGUGGGAACAGUGCCGCCAUCUAUCAGGCGAUCGCUGUCGCCACUCCCCGUCCAAUCUGGUUUAUGGCUUGUGGGGCCCUGACUGGGAGGCGACCGACUUCGGGGAGGCCGACUCCCGCAGGGCCGUCUUCGGGCUCUCCGGCCAUCUUCUUCUCUCUCACUGACAGGGGGCCCGGCGAUCCUCGGGCCGUACAGGCCGCCGUUGUGGGCACAGUGCCUUGUGUACUAUGGCUGAAGUCAGGGGAGGCAUGGCAACAGUGCCGCGCCUCACCGGAGAUCUCCCGGUGAUACGGCUCACUGCAGCCAUGCCUUCCUCCCGUGGGCUUGAGGGGACGGCCACGUCGGGGCCGUACCCUGCGUCGGUCUUCGUGAAAGGUCACGGGCCGACUCUCAUAGUCGGCCCCCUGAAAGGUCGCAAGCCCGGAGUCGGCUUGUUUCAGAGUCGCCGUCUAAGGACUCGGCUUCCUCGAAGGUCGCCAGCUGGGACUCGGCCUUCUCGAAGGUCGCCAGCUGGGACUCGGCUGAGGGGCGCGGCCUGCCCCGAUGUCUUGAAAGAUCUUGGGUCCCGGGUCAGCCUACCCGUGGCCCAUUCCUCCGACACUCCAACAAAGAUUUUGAUGGAUUUAAUAUACCUCGUUCUUGGCAACAUCUGAAUCAUGAAACAAGAAGGAAAUUGUCAAGAGUGACAUAACACCACCUCCAAAAUAUGGUAGAAAGAAUAGCACUCUGGAUUACCAUAUGAAGAAAGCUUGAGCUCCUUAGGAAAGAAUCUCGAUGAAAACUUUGAGAAGGGAAUUAAAUCCUUGAUGAACCAUCAUGUAGAACCUCCAUGAAGAACUCCGGUAAACAAAAGGAAUGAAAAGAAAGAGAAAUUGAAAACACAAGGUGAAUCCUUGCAAUGAUUUAGGUGGAGCUUCGUGACGAGACAUCCAAGAAAACUUGGAACUCCGGAAAGAAAAGAUGAACACUAGAACCGAGAAUUACUUCAUCAUGAACAAUCUUCGGAAGAAAAGAAUUGAAUCACCUCGAGGAAAUAAGAAUAAGAUUUAUUGUAUGCUUAUCCUUCAUCAAAUUAAAUUGAUGACAAACAAUGGAUUUGGCAUACUACUUAUUCUCGUAGAAAGGAUUAAAAGAGAUAUAGCGCGAACUUGAGAAGGUAUUGAUGGAACCACCGGUAGGAUUGAAACAACGAAAGAAUGAAUGAAUUGGUAUGAUAACGAAGGAAGUGAAAUCUUGAACGAACCACCGUAAGAGUUGAAAAUGGAAGCAGCAAAGCCACAAUUCACCGGGAAGAAUUGGAAAAUGAAUGAAGAUACUUGAGGGGAUUUAGAUGCAUGAGAACGAAGCAAUCAUGAACUGAUUAGAGGAUAUUUGAACGAUUCACCGAUAAGAUUUGGAGAACGAUAACUACACGCUGAGAACGAAGAAUUAUGAAAUGAUGGCCUUCGGAGGAAAGAAAUGGAAACAACUCAUGAAAUGCUCCGGAUGGUAAGAAAAGAGUUCUCACGAUCGAAAACAAUUAUGAGAGGAUGGCAUCAAGCUAGAACCAUGAAUAUUCAAGAGAAUGGACCAAGAUUUAAGAGAAAAACUUCUUCGGUCUUCAAAUGUUGAGAAUGACGAGGAGAAACAACGCCAAAAUUGCUGAGAUACUCCGGGAGAAUGAAAAAAAACCGAAAAGGUUGAGCCAACAAUGAAAAGAAUUUGAACGAGAUCUUGGAGAAGGCAUGUGACUGAUGGGAUCCAUUCUUACGUCACACUUGGAAAUGAAUUUGAGAAUCGCUCCUGAAUAAUUAGAAGAGUCGGGUAAGAUCCUAGGAAAAGACAUGUGGGUUAGGGCCCACUCAAAAGAAAACACCGUUCAAUGAUUGAUUGAAAUAAAGAUUGCACCGGUAAAAUUUAAUGGCUUAAUGAGAUAACAAUCUCCAAAUGGCUUGAACGGAUUAAGAAUGGAAACACAAAUCUUCUGAGAUAUCUUCAACACUCUGGAAUAAAUGAAUAGCAAGAGGUGAGUGAUUGAGAGGUGCACCGGCAUGAGGAAGCAUUUGACACGAGGAAAGGAAUAUGAUGAAUAUCGAAAACUUGAAUUGGAACCACCGGAGAAGAAACAACAACGAAGGAUGAUGAACUUGAAGCUCGUGAGCAUCUUCAUGAGGGAUCACCGGAUCAGAACAUUGAUUGAAAAGAAUGAAGAAACUUCUCUCAAAUAAAAGGAUACAUGAUUAAGAAAUCUGAGUCCUUGAAGAAAAAGGGUGGGAGGGUGGGGAAACAAAGACAACUUGAGAUGGAUGAAACAAACACCGUUGAGAAAACUUAGAAUUGAUCUCGCAAAUGUUGAAAUGAUCAGAUCCACUUGAAGAGAAGCACGCCGGUUGGAAAAGAAUUAACAUGACGACCUCGAUGAUCAAAAAGGAUUAGUAUUCACAUAGGAAUAUGAGAACACCGUUUAGGAAAGGUACGUAAUCAACACUUGACAUUGAAGCAACUCGAAUACCACAAAUAAAACAAAACAAAGGAUUUGGCUUGCAGAAUAAGCCAGAACAAACACAUAUGAUAGAGAUUUACCCAAUCCCAUAUCAUGCAUCUGUCGGAAAGAUAUACUAGGAGCUACUUGAAUUCCCACCUAUAAAACUCCCAAAACUUUCUGGUUAUGCAAUCUGGUGUUGGGGAUACAGGGGAAGCAAUAUAUCUCACCCAAACUAACAAUCCCUACAUCCAGCUGUAUCCAUCUGUCAACACAUAACCAAGAAACCUUCGGAAAUCGUGUACCUCAACCUUCGAAAAGGAUCCGUUAUACGAGUCAUGGCAAUACUCCCGUACUCACCUCAGUACUGGGUUAUCGGGGUUAUCUCACCAACAACUGCAUAAAAGAUAUUUUCGAUGUCGGCGUACUAAACUCAGGUAUUCCAGAACUGCAACGAUAAAAUUAUGACGACAACACCUCAGAGCUCAACUCCCCGGGACACUUCCACUAAACCCCUGACAGGAGGCACCAAGACAAUGUUCUCAUCAUAAAACCAUUGGAACGAUUCCAAGAUACCCGCGUGAUCCUAAAAAAAUUUUAGUGAAAUUUGAGAAGAGAAGAGUCAAAACUUCUACGUCAGGAGACCUCACCAGAGCGACGAAGGUACUGAGGAGUAAAAAGAAUUCCUAACUCUCCGAUAUAUAUAAUCCUAAAUGACUCAAAACAUUUUUUCUAGACACAACUCGGCCGCUAAAAACGAUCAAGCAGUGGGGCUCCUAAGGUCGGGGAAGGCUCUGAUUACCAACUUGUAACGCCCUCGAUGCGGCUAUAUCUCCCACGUGUCGAAGCACGACUUAGAGGCAUAACCGCAUUGAAAGCAAUGUCACAAGUGAGGUAAUCUUCACACAACCCAUGUAAUACAUAAGGGGAAAAGAUACAUAGUUGGCUUACAAUCGCCACUUCACACAAUUACAUGAAUAAAGCAUUACAUCAUCCAGAUACAAUCAAGGUCCGACUACGGAACCAAAAUAAAAGAAGAACCCCAAAUGCGACAAAGGUCCCCGAUCGACCCCAACUGGGCUCCACUACUGAUCAACUAGAACGAAACAACACAAAGGGCAAGAUCUUCAUCGAGCUCCUCCUUGAGCUUGGUUGCGUCACCUGCUCGGUAACAUCGACACCUGCAAACUGGUUUUGGAAGUAUCUGGUGAGCCAC